GGCAGCAAAGUGAUGCCGUAGAAUAGGAUGCACGGGGCUAAUAGGUCAGAAGAAUGAUUCAGAUGUAUUCCUCUUUCUUCUGCAAUGCCAGAGAUGAAGUCCCUAAUCAUUUGGAGAGUCCCAUGCAGAGGAAAGCACUGGCAGAUGUUCAGAUGAUCUUUAAUUGAAGUACUUUUCUCUUGUUGCUUCUUAACUAGCAUUCCACCCCACCACAGCUGAUGUCAUCUGUGACAUCAUGAAGAUGGCAACCAUCUACACUGCAGUACUCUGAUAGUGCAGUACCCGCAUGCUCUUUAAUAGUUCCACAAAAGGUCUCUGCUUAAAGACUAGUGCCAGGACUGUUAGGAUGGAAAUAAAACGUGAUAUUCCAUGAU
Long non-coding RNA from Mus musculus (house mouse), 374 nucleotides. RefSeq annotates it as predicted gene, 46622. The record is from RefSeq and is a predicted model, not a curated record. The transcript has 2 exons. Lineage: Eukaryota; Metazoa; Chordata; Mammalia; Rodentia; Muridae.